GACGAACGCUGGCGGCAUGCCUAACACAUGCAAGUCGAACGAGACCUUCGGGUCUAGUGGCGCACGGGUGCGUAACGCGUGGGAAUCUACCCUCAGGUUCGGAAUAACUCAGAGAAAUUUGAGCUAAUACCGGAUGAUGACGUAAGUCCAAAGAUUUAUCGCCUGGGGAGGAGCCCGCUUAGGAUUAGGUAGUUGGUGAGGUAAAGGCUCACCAAGCCGACGAUCUUUAGCUGGUCUGAGAGGAUGCUCAGACACACUGGGACUGAGACACGGCCCAGACCCCCACGGGAGGGAGGAGUGGAGAAUAUUGGACAGUGGGCGAGAGUGUGAGCCAGCAAUGGCGCGUGGGUGGUGAGGGCAUUAGGGGUGUAAUGCUCUUUUACCAGAGAUGAUAAUGACAGUACCGGGAGAAUAAGCACCGGCUAACUCCGUG
RNAcentral lists this ribosomal RNA (433 nucleotides) under uncultured bacterium. RNAcentral's name for it is "partial 16S ribosomal RNA". It matches the Rfam family "Bacterial small subunit ribosomal RNA", at positions 28 to 507 of the family's 1533-position model. The record is from RNAcentral.